UUUCCGUAGGUGAACCUGCGGAAGGAUCAUUACAGAGUUCAUGCCCUCACGGGUAGAUCUCCCACCCUUGAAUAUUUAUACCUUAGCUGCUUUGGCAGGCCGUGGAAACACCAUGGGCUCCGGCUUAUGCGUGCCUGCCAGAGGAAACAAACUCUGUUUUUAGUGAUGUCUGAGUACUAUAUAAUAGUUAAAACUUUCAACAACGGAUCUCUUGGUUUUG
RNAcentral lists this unclassified non-coding RNA (220 nucleotides) under plant metagenome. RNAcentral describes it as "partial contains small subunit ribosomal RNA, internal transcribed spacer 1, and 5.8S ribosomal RNA". The record is from RNAcentral.